GUUUUAAGUAAGUGGCCUUGGUUUGCCUUCUGGCACACAAAAAAUAAAGUAACAGAGACACCUAGUGGGAGCUGAUAGCAAGUGCUCCAGCAAGUCUGAGUGCCUGUGUCUGGGAUCAGGUGGAGACCCGGAGGAUGGAACCACUGUGGCCCAUGAGUGCACAAUGAGGCCAACAGGCUCUCUCGAGCCAUGCCAGGGCAGCCUUCACCAAUGGGAAGCCCUGCUCAUCCACCCUGCAGCUGGUCCUUGUCACCAAGGCUCUGUUCUGAACAACCUCUGGGGACAAAGAGUCUGUUGCUGUAUCAGCUCACACGGGUGGACCUAGCCUCAGGUCGUGGUGGGGGAUGUAGGAAAGCAGACAGUUUUCUGCUUUGAGGAGUUGGCAGAAAACGAUUGGACUUGGCACUUUUUUUGCUGUGUGACCUCGGAUGAAUCAUUUAGCAUCUCUGAGCUCCAGUUUCCUUGUGUGCAAAAACAGAGUUAGUAAUAGUGAGGAUGGUUUAAAAUGAUGGAUGUAGAAAGCGAAGUGCUGAGUCUAUGCCCAUACCCCCUUGAAUGCACCCGAACUUGUCUGAUCUCAGAAGCUAAACAGGGUCAGGCCUGGUUAGUACUUGGAUGUGACAAAGUUAAGCACUGUGUUGUUGACACACAGGAAGCACCCAAUAAAUGGUAGCUAUUGUUGUUAUUGUUAUGAUUUUAUGGUGGAUAACCGCACAUGAAAUAAAUAGGGAAUAAAUCCACACAAUAUUGAACCAAGUGAAAGCCAUCGUAGUUUAUAGCAGGUGAGAGACAGGGCUAUUCCAGAUCUGCAGUAGUUAGGUGAGGCCUCAUGGAGAAGACAAGAUUUCUGAUGAGCCUCUGACUGCAACAACAAACAAAUUAUACUCCUACUGGCUGAAACAAUUAUGGGGUGUGUUGGCUCAUAUAACUUGGUAAGAUUUGAUCCAGUGCCUUGAUGAUGUUACGAGGAGCCAAUCUUUUCUUUUAAAAAUAUUCUUGUGACAUAAAAAAGAUUUAGAAAACGACAUAGCAUUCACCUUAGGAAAUAAAAUAGCAAAUAUAGUUGAGGCUUCCUGGCCCUCCUUCAGUUGCAUUUCCCCUUCCCCUACCCUGC
Molecule: long non-coding RNA, 1114 nt
Filed under: Homo sapiens (human)
Lineage: Eukaryota; Metazoa; Chordata; Mammalia; Primates; Hominidae
Source: RNAcentral